RNAcentral lists this ribosomal RNA (425 nucleotides) under uncultured bacterium. RNAcentral's name for it is "bacterial SSU rRNA". It matches the Rfam family "Bacterial small subunit ribosomal RNA", at positions 354 to 796 of the family's 1533-position model. The record is from RNAcentral.
GUAGGGAAUAUUGGUAAUCUGGGAAACCGGGAACCAGCAACGCCGCGUGUGCGAUGAAGGCCUUCGGGUUGUAAAGCACUUUUUGAGGGGAUGAAAAAGGACAGUACCCUCAGAAUAAGUCUCGGCUAACUACGUGCCAGCAGCCGCGGUAAGACGUAGGAGACGAGCGUUAUUCGGAUUUACUGGGCGUAAAGCGCGUGCAGGCGGUUUGGUAAGUUGGAUGUGAAAGCUCCCGGCUCAACUGGGAGAGGUCGUUCAAAACUGCCAGACUAGAGAAUAGGAGAGGGAGGUGGAAUUCCGGGUGUAGUGGUGAAAUGCGUAGAUAUCCGGAGGAACACCAGUGGCGAAGGCGACCUCCUGGCCUAUUUCUGACGCUCAGACGCGAAAGCUAGGGUAGCAAACGGGAUUAGAAACCCUAGUAGUCC